This 1614-nucleotide ribosomal RNA is filed under the name Marinomonas phaeophyticola. RNAcentral's name for it is "partial 23S ribosomal RNA". It matches the Rfam family "Bacterial large subunit ribosomal RNA", at positions 1329 to 2925 of the family's 2925-position model. Lineage: Bacteria; Pseudomonadati; Pseudomonadota; Gammaproteobacteria; Oceanospirillales; Oceanospirillaceae. The record is from RNAcentral.
CUUCCCCGCCGGAAGACCAAGGUUUCCUGUCCCAUGCUAAUCAGGGCAGGGUGAGUCGGCCCCUAAGGCGAGGCAGAAAUGCGUAGUCGAUGGGAAACAGGUUAAUAUUCCUGUACUUAUGUAUAUUGCGAUGGAGAGACGGAGAAGGCUAGGCUAGCACGGCGAUGGUUGUCCGUGUUUAAGGUGGUAGGUUGAGAGCUUAGGUAAAUCCGGGCCCUCUUAAGACCGAGAACUGAUGACGAGUCCUCUUUUGGACGAAGUAGUUGAUGCCAUGCUUCCAGGAAAAACUUCUAAGCUUCAGAUAUGCAUGAACCGUACCCCAAACCGACACAGGUGGUCAGGUAGAGAAUACCAAGGCGCUUGAGAGAACUCGGGUGAAGGAACUAGGCAAAAUGGCACCGUAACUUCGGGAGAAGGUGCGCCGGUUAGUGUGAAGGAUUUACUCCGUAAGCAUUGAUCGGUCGAAGAUACCAGGUGGCUGCGACUGUUUAUUAAAAACACAGCACUCUGCAAACACGAAAGUGGACGUAUAGGGUGUGACGCCUGCCCGGUGCUGGAAGGUUAAUUGAUGGGGUUAGCGUAAGCGAAGCUCUUGAUCGAAGCCCCAGUAAACGGCGGCCGUAACUAUAACGGUCCUAAGGUAGCGAAAUUCCUUGUCGGGUAAGUUCCGACCUGCACGAAUGGCGUAACGAUGGCCACACUGUCUCCACCCGAGACUCAGUGAAAUUGAAAUCGCAGUGAAGAUGCUGUGUAUCCGCGGCUAGACGGAAAGACCCCGUGAACCUUUACUAUAGCUUCACAGUGAACUUUGAACCUACUUGUGUAGGAUAGGUGGGAGGCUUUGAAACUAGGACGCCAGUUCUAGUGGAGCCAAACUUGAAAUACCACCCUGGUAUGUUUGAGGUUCUAACUCAGGUCCCUUAUCGGGAUCGAGGACACUGUGUGGUGGGUAGUUUGACUGGGGCGGUCUCCUCCCAAAGAGUAACGGAGGAGCACGAAGGUGUGCUCAGCAUGGUCGGAAAUCAUGCGUAGAGUGUAAAGGCAAAAGCGCGCUUAACUGCGAGACAGACACGUCGAGCAGGUACGAAAGUAGGUCUUAGUGAUCCGGUGGUUCUGUAUGGAAGGGCCAUCGCUCAACGGAUAAAAGGUACUCCGGGGAUAACAGGCUGAUACCGCCCAAGAGUUCACAUCGACGGCGGUGUUUGGCACCUCGAUGUCGGCUCAUCACAUCCUGGGGCUGAAGCCGGUCCCAAGGGUAUGGCUGUUCGCCAUUUAAAGUGGUACGCGAGCUGGGUUUAGAACGUCGUGAGACAGUUCGGUCCCUAUCUGCCGUGGACGUUUGAGAUUUGAGAGGAGCUGCUCCUAGUACGAGAGGACCGGAGUGGACGAACCUCUGGUGUUCCGGUUGUCACGCCAGUGGCAUUGCCGGGUAGCUAUGUUCGGACGGGAUAACCGCUGAAAGCAUCUAAGCGGGAAGCCUCCCUCAAGAUGAGAUCUCACUGGGACAUAAGUCCCCUAAAGAGCCGUUGAAGACUACGACGUUGAUAGGUUGGGUGUGUAAGUGCUGUGAGGCAUUGAGCUAACCAAUACUAAUUGCUCGUGAGGCUUGACCAU